ACCUGUGCACUUACUGAAGAGAGAGAGGGAGAGGGAGAGUGGUUUAUUCGUUUAUUCAUUUAUUCGUGUAUUCAACUCAAAGUCUUCAAUCUCUCUUUUGACUUUAUAAUAAACAACUAUAUUGUUUGUGUAGAAUGCAUUAGCCUCAUUGUAGGUGAAAUAACUAUACAACUUUCAACAACGGAUCUCUUGGCUCUCGCAUCGAUGAAGAACGCAGCGAAAUGCGAUAAGUAAUGUGAAUUGCAGAAUUCAGUGAAUCAUCGAAUCUUUGAACGCACCUUGCACUCCUUGGUAUUCCGAGGAGUAUGCCUGUUUGAGUGUCAUGUUAAUCUCAAUACAACAUUUUUUGUAACUAAAAAGUGUUAAUAUUGGACUUGGGGACUGCUGGCGUAAGUCGGCUUCUCUUGAAUGCAUUAGCUGGGCUUUUGCUCGAGUAAUUGGUGUAAUAGUUUCUAACAUUCACCGUUUACACUUGCUAAUAGAGUCUGCUUCUAAUCGUCUUGUAAUGAGAC
This 512-nucleotide unclassified non-coding RNA is filed under the name Pyrrhoderma noxium. Its description in RNAcentral is "sequence contains ITS1, 5.8S rRNA gene and ITS2". The stretch from base 170 to 323 matches the Rfam family "5.8S ribosomal RNA". The record is from RNAcentral. Lineage: Eukaryota; Fungi; Basidiomycota; Agaricomycetes; Hymenochaetales; Hymenochaetaceae.